UUUUAGGAGUGUUCCAAGGUCCCAAAUCAGUUCUCAUAUCCCGAUUAUUUUGGAAAAUAGCUAUAGUGGCGGGAAAGGUUCUUGGAUGCUUGGGAAUGUGUAUUGAGGCGGAAUGGAUUCAAAGAGCCGAGAGUUUCGAUUUGAGGAUGAAGUCUUUAUUAUGGUUUUAUGUGUAUUUUUCCGCACUUAUGUAAUCUCUUUUUAUUACAAUUAAGUUAUGUUUU
Molecule: long non-coding RNA, 224 nt
Organism: Humulus lupulus (European hop)
Lineage: Eukaryota; Viridiplantae; Streptophyta; Magnoliopsida; Rosales; Cannabaceae
Exons: 2
Source: RefSeq, a predicted model, not a curated record